AUUGAACGCUGGCGGCAUGCCUUACACAUGCAAGUCGAACGGCAGCACGGGAGCAAUCCUGGUGGCGAGUGGCGAACGGGUGAGUAAUAUAUCGGAACGUGCCCAGUCGUGGGGGAUAACGUAGCGAAAGCUACGCUAAUACCGCAUACGAUCUAUGGGAUGAAAGCGGGGGAUCUUCGGACCUCGCGCCAUUAGAUGAGCCUAGGUCGGAUUAGCUAGUUGGUGAGGUAAUGGCUCACCAAGGCGACGAUCCGUAACUGGUCUGAGAGAAUGAUCAGUCACACUGGAACUGAGACACGGUCCAGACUCCUACGGGAGGCAGCAGUGGGGAAUAUUGGACAAUGGGCGAAAGCCUGAUCCAGCCAUGCCGCGUGUGUGAAGAAGGUCUUCGGAUUGUAAAGCACUUUAAGUUGGGAGGAAGGGUAGUAACCUAAUACGUUGCUACUUUGACGUUACCGACAGAAUAAGCACCGGCUAACUUCGUG
This 485-nucleotide ribosomal RNA is filed under the name uncultured bacterium. RNAcentral's name for it is "bacterial SSU rRNA". It matches the Rfam family "Bacterial small subunit ribosomal RNA", at positions 30 to 507 of the family's 1533-position model. The record is from RNAcentral.